GAUGAACGCUGGCGGCGUGCUUAACACAUGCAAGUCGAACGGAAAGGCUCCUGCUUGCAGGGGUACUCGAGUGGCGAACGGGUGAGUAUCACGUGGGUGAUCUGCCCUGCACUUCGGGAUAAGCCUGGGAAACUGGGUCUAAUACCGGAUAGGACGAUGGUUUGGAUGCCAUUGUGGAAAGUUUUUUCGGUGUGGGAUGAGCUCGCGGCCUAUCAGCUUGUUGGUGGGGUAAUGGCCUACCAAGGCGUCGACGGGUAGCCGGCCUGAGAGGGUGUACGGCCACAUUGGGACUGAGAUACGGCCCAGACUCCUACGGGAGGCAGCAGUGGGGAAUAUUGCACAAUGGGCGCAAGCCUGAUGCAGCGACGCCGCGUGGGGGAUGACGGCCUUCGGGUUGUAAACUCCUUUCGCUAGGGACGAAGCGCAAGUGACGGUACCUGGAGAAGAAGCACCGGCUAACUACGUG
This 466-nucleotide ribosomal RNA is filed under the name uncultured bacterium. RNAcentral's name for it is "partial 16S ribosomal RNA". It matches the Rfam family "Bacterial small subunit ribosomal RNA", at positions 28 to 507 of the family's 1533-position model. The record is from RNAcentral.